Molecule: ribosomal RNA, 434 nt
Filed under: uncultured bacterium
Lineage: Bacteria
Description: partial 16S ribosomal RNA
Rfam family: Bacterial small subunit ribosomal RNA
Source: RNAcentral
AGCGAACGCUGGCGGCAGGCCUAACACAUGCAAGUCGAACGAACGUUCCGGGGUUAGUGGCGGACGGGUGGGUAACCCGUGGGAACGUGCCUCUGGGCUCGGAAUAACUCAGGGAAAAUCGUGCUAAUACCGAAUGUGCCACUGCGGGGGACGUUUAAUCGCCGUUAGAGCGGCUUGCGUCGGAUUAGCUAGUUGGCUGAGGUUAUGGGGCUCGAUGGCGACAAUCAGUAGCGGGUAAGAGAGGAUGGACACCCACAUUGGGACUGAGACCCGGCCGAAACUCUUGCGGGAGGGAGCAGUGGGGAAUCGUGCGCAAUGGGCGAAGGCCUGACGCAGCCAGGCCGCGUGAAUGAUGAAGGUGUUAGGAUUGUAAAAUUCUUUCACCGGGGAGGAUAAUGACGGUACCCGGAGAAUAAGCCCCGGCUAACUGCGUG